UAGAAAACUGCUCCUUUGAGUGUUUUUAGAUACGCAUGAAGAUUCUCUCGACGAAAAGUGUUUCUUCAUGCUUUUAUUAUACCA
RNAcentral lists this antisense RNA (84 nucleotides) under Listeria innocua. RNAcentral describes it as "ctRNA". It matches the Rfam family "ctRNA". From Rfam's summary of the family: Rolling circle replication plasmids contain a number of mechanisms to maintain a low copy number. One of these methods is to transcribe a small RNA called ctRNA (for counter-transcribed RNA) than is transcribed on the opposite strand to RepB the replication initiation protein. ctRNA binds to the mRNA of repB and causes translational inhibition. Lineage: Bacteria; Bacillati; Bacillota; Bacilli; Caryophanales; Listeriaceae. The record is from Rfam by way of RNAcentral.